UGGAAAGUUCACACAGUGACGGUAGCUUACCAGAAAGGGACGGCUAANUACGUGCCAGCAGCCGCGGUAAUACGUAGGUCCCGAGCGUUGUCCGGAUUUAUUGGGCGUAAAGGGAGCGCAGGCGGUCAGGAAAGUCUGGAGUAAAAGGCUAUGGCUCANCCAUAGUGUGCUCUGGAAACUGUNUGACUUGAGUGCAGAAGGGGAGAGUGGAAUUCCAUGUGUAGCGGUGAAAUGCGUAGAUAUAUGGAGGAACACCAGUGGCGAAAGCGGCUCUCUGGUCUGUCACUGACGCUGAGGCUCGAAAGCGUGGGUAGCGAACAGGAUUAGAUACCCUGGUAGUCCACGCCGUAAACGAUGAGUGCUAGGUGUUAGGCCCUUUCCGGGGCUUAGUGCCGGAGCUAACGCAAUAAGCACUCCGCCUGGGGAGUACGACCGCAAGGUUGAAACUCAAAGGAAUUGACGGGGGCCCGCACAAGCGGUGGAGCAUGUGGUUUAAUUCGAAGCAACGCGAAGAACCUUACCAGGUCUUGACAUCCCGAUGCUAUUCUUAGAGAUAGGAAGUUACUUCGGUACAUCGGAGACAGGUGGUGCAUGGUUGUCGUCAGCUCGUGUCGUGAGAUGUUGGGUUAAGUCCCGCAACGAGCGCAACCCUUAUUGUUAGUUGCCAUCAUUAAGUUGGGCACUCUAGCGAGACUGCCGGUAAUAAACCGGAGGAAGGUGGGGAUGACGUCAAAUCAUCAUGCCCCUUAUGACCUGGGCUACACACGUGCUACAAUGGUCGGUACAACGAGUUGCGAGCCGGUGACGGCAAGCUAAUCUCUGAAAGCCGAUCUCAGUUCGGAUUGGAGGCUGCAACUCGCCUCCAUGAAGUCGGAAUCGCUAGUAAUCGCGGAUCAGCACGCCGCGGUGAAUACGUUCCCGGGCCUUGUACACACCGCCCGUCACACCACGAGAGUUUGUAACACCCGAAGUCGGUGAGGUANCCUUUUAGGGGCCA
Molecule: ribosomal RNA, 997 nt
Filed under: uncultured bacterium
Lineage: Bacteria
Description: bacterial SSU rRNA
Rfam family: Bacterial small subunit ribosomal RNA
Source: RNAcentral